This 253-nucleotide ribosomal RNA is filed under the name uncultured bacterium. RNAcentral's name for it is "partial 16S ribosomal RNA". It matches the Rfam family "Bacterial small subunit ribosomal RNA", at positions 524 to 776 of the family's 1533-position model. RNAcentral also lists the same sequence under 1 other name. The record is from RNAcentral.
UACGAAGGGUGCAAGCGUUACUCGGAAUUACUGGGCGUAAAGCGUGAGUAGGUGGUUUCUUAAGUCUGCUGUGAAAGCCCCGGGCUCAACCUGGGAAUUGCAGUGGAUACUGGGAAGCUAGAGUGCGGUAGAGGGUAGUGGAAUUCCCGGUGUAGCGGUGAAAUGCGUAGAGAUCGGGAGGAACACCAGUGGCGAAGGCGGCUACCUGGACCAGCACUGACACUGAGUCACGAAAGCGUGGGGAGCAAACAGG